Molecule: long non-coding RNA, 632 nt
Organism: Sebastes umbrosus (honeycomb rockfish)
Lineage: Eukaryota; Metazoa; Chordata; Actinopteri; Perciformes; Sebastidae
Exons: 3
Source: RefSeq, a predicted model, not a curated record
GUCCUUUCUUUCUUUUUUGGGGUUGAUUUGAGGUAUAUACACAUGAAUAAAAGCAGGUGAAUAGGAUCCAGCAUCCUGCAGCAGGAGUUUGUGAACAGAAGUGUGUUUGUUCUCGGAGCAGCUCUCGGAUGAGAAAGGUAUGAGGGUCUGUGGGGAGAUAAGGAACGCUAACAAACAGGAGCAGAAGGAAAGACGUUGAUGGAUGGAGGCAGGAGGCCACAGACGGCAACGUGUUUACAUGACACACAGGUGUAACUGAUGGCCGGACAAACACAACAUGUUCAGGGCUUCUAGUCCAGAUGCUUUCUUUAGGGAGGUGAACCAGUCCUGUCAGCUUCCAUUAUACCUCAACACAGCCCGUCGGAGGCGCACACACGAUGCUGAGAGCGAUGCUUUUAUCUUCCCAAAAGCGUGCAGCUGAAGGAGCCAUUAAGACGGAGCUCAGUGGUCUAUCAGGUCGGAUAACACAAAGAUGUGGGGUGUAUACCUCCAGCAGCUGCAGCAGCAGCAAUCAACCUGCUCCCAUCAGCGACCUCCUGCAGGCUGUUCAGAGACGUUUCCAUUCAGCUGAGAACGGAAAACAAUAUGUAGGGCUUCACCACCAGGCAGAAACAUCCUCCUGUUUCUUUGAG